UGAGGAAUAUUGGGCAAUGGACGAAAGUCUGACCCAGCAACGCCGCGUGGAGGAUGAAGGUCGUAAGAUCGUAAACUCCUUUUGAGAGGGAUGAACAUCCUGUUUUCGUAAGGGAACAGGACUGACCGUACCUCUAGAAGAAGCCCCGGCUAACUACGUGCCAGCAGCCGCGGUAAUACGUAGGGGGCAAGCGUUGUCCGGAUUUACUGGGUGUAAAGGGCGCGUAGGCGGAUUUGUAAGUCAGAGGUGAAAGCCCGCAGCUUAACUGCGGAACUGCCUUUGAUACUGCAUAUCUUGAAUUUGGAAGAGAGAAGCGGAAUUCCAGGUGUAGUAGUGAAAUACGUAGAUAUCUGGAAGAACACCAGUGGCGAAGGCGGCUUCUUGGUCCAUAAUUGACGCUGAGGCGCGAAAGCGUGGGGAGCAAACAGG
Molecule: ribosomal RNA, 429 nt
Filed under: uncultured bacterium
Lineage: Bacteria
Description: bacterial SSU rRNA
Rfam family: Bacterial small subunit ribosomal RNA
Source: RNAcentral